Molecule: ribosomal RNA, 253 nt
Filed under: uncultured bacterium
Lineage: Bacteria
Description: partial 16S ribosomal RNA
Rfam family: Bacterial small subunit ribosomal RNA
Source: RNAcentral
UACGUAGGGGGCUAGCGUUGUCCGGAUUUAUUGGGCGUAAAGAGCGUGUAGGCGGCCUGACAGGUCUGCUGUGAAAACUCGAGGCUCAACCUCGAGAUGUCGGCGGAAACCGUCUGGCUAGAGUCCGGAAGAGGAGAGUGGAAUUCCUGGUGUAGCGGUGAAAUGCGCAGAUAUCAGGAAGAACACCCGUGGCGAAGGCGGCUCUCUGGGACGGUACUGACGCUGAGACGCGAAAGCGUGGGGAGCGAACAGG